This 408-nucleotide RNase P RNA is filed under the name Zwartia sp. RNAcentral's name for it is "RNase P RNA component class A". It matches the Rfam family "Bacterial RNase P class A". Rfam says of the family: Ribonuclease P (RNase P) is a ubiquitous endoribonuclease, found in archaea, bacteria and eukarya as well as chloroplasts and mitochondria. Its best characterised activity is the generation of mature 5'-ends of tRNAs by cleaving the 5'-leader elements of precursor-tRNAs. The record is from RNAcentral. Lineage: Bacteria; Pseudomonadati; Pseudomonadota; Betaproteobacteria; Burkholderiales; Alcaligenaceae.
AAGGCGGAUUGGGCAAUCGCGGUGCUUCGUGCAUCGAGGAAGGUCCGGACUCCACAGGGCAGGAUAACGGUUAACGACCGUCCGGUGCGGUACACGUAAGUGUCCGCGCUGAGGACUAGGGCCACAGAGACGAGUCUGCAGCGGGGGUGUGUCGAAAGACGCACUCCGCCACGGUGUAGCCGUGGUGCAGAGUUCGCUUUGGCGAAUUCAACGUUGCAGGGUGAAACGCGGCAACCUCUAUCCGGAGCAACACCAAAUAGGCAUGCGUGUGGUUUCGACCACGACGGGCGGCUCGCCCAAGUAUGCGGGUAGGUGGCUAGAGCAUUUCAGCAAUGAAAUGCCCAGAGGAAUGAUUGCCAACCCAUGUAAAUGGGUUUACAGAAUCCGGCCUAUAGAUCCGUCUUGCAC